AUUGAACGCUGGCGGCAUGCCUUACACAUGCAAGUCGAACGGUAACAGGUUAAGCUGACGAGUGGCGAACGGGUGAGUAAUGUAUCGGAACGUGCCCAGUCGUGUGGGAUAACUGCUCGAAAGAGCAGCUAAUACCGCAUACGACCUGAGGUUGAAAGCGGGGGAUCGCAAGACCUCGCGCGAUUGGAGGGGCCGAUAUCAGAUUAGGUAGUUGGUGAGGUAAAGGCUCACCAAGCCGACGAUCUGUAGCUGGUCUGAGAGGACGACCAGCCACACUGGGACUGAGACACGGCCCAGACUCCUACGGGAGGCAGAAGUGGGGAAUUUUGGACAAUGGGCGCAAGCCUGAUCCAGCCAUGCCGCGUGCGGGAAGAAGGCCUUCGGGUUGUAAACCGCUUUUGUCAGGGAAGAAAAGGUUCUGGCUAAUACCUGGGACUCAUGACGGUACCUGAAGAAUAAGCACCGGCUAACUACGUG
RNAcentral lists this ribosomal RNA (477 nucleotides) under uncultured bacterium. RNAcentral's name for it is "partial 16S ribosomal RNA". It matches the Rfam family "Bacterial small subunit ribosomal RNA", at positions 30 to 507 of the family's 1533-position model. The record is from RNAcentral.